Molecule: long non-coding RNA, 2486 nt
Organism: Acipenser ruthenus (sterlet)
Lineage: Eukaryota; Metazoa; Chordata; Actinopteri; Acipenseriformes; Acipenseridae
Exons: 6
Source: RefSeq, a predicted model, not a curated record
GCAAGAGUUCCUUUUUUGGAACUUGGAAUUGGGAAAGGAAGAUCCGGUUCGUAGAGGAAAGGUGAAAAAAGUGAAACAUGUGACAGAAAAAUAGUAAGCAUGGACGUGAAAGAAGCAGAGGGAGACUUGCUUACCCAAGAACACGCAAAAAAACUUAAAAAUAAAGGGAAAGAACCCACAGAAAGAAAACGGAGAAACGAAGGAAGGAGUGGAGAAAGCAGAGACCGACGAGCAACCCCCGGAGAUGCAUUUUCCACCAACAUUCAGCGUGUCAGAGAUCAAAAAUAAACAACGAAGGCAUUUCAUGUUUUUGAAAUUUAAACAGUAAAAACGAAAGGAAAAGUUAGCAUUGAAGAAGGAAAGGAAAAAGACGAGACAAGGUUGUAACACUACAAAAUGUGGAAAAGUCCACGGGGGGUGAAUACUUAUGCAAGGCACUGUAUAUGUAUAUGUAAAGGCACCCCCCAAAAAAGUUCCAAAGACAGUUGAAAACCAGAAGGUUUAUGAUGAGACGACUGUAGACCCCCAGGAUGAAGAGUUUCAGCGAAAAGGCAAGGAACCCACAGAGCAUGUGCCUGAGGUGAUCCUCAAUAACCACUACAUGUCUGGGCCAAUCCAUCGGAAUGUUUGCUUCCCUCUUCCCUCAUGACCCCAAUUUUUUUGGACGGCAGGUAGAUCUUUGUAAUUGGAAAACAAAGAGAUUACAUCUUUUUUAGAUACCACAGAUACAUCUUUAAGAAUGACAAGAGUGGGAAUCCAGGAGUUGGGACCGUGAUUCACCUUGAAACUCCGAUCUCUUCAGAAAGGAACGUUUGACUCCUAAUUUGGAGUGUAUGAAUGGGUUCAUAAGCGCCAUGAGAUGGACAGCUGCAGAAGAAAUUUCCACUUGUAAAAAGAAAGAAAGUGGAAACAAACAAAGAACCCAACUGGCUAGAACUUGACAAUAAAGCAACUACAGCUUCAGUUUUUAAAUGUGUAUGUGUAUCUUGUAAUUACGUUGUUUUUUCAUGUACUAUACUAUGAGUGAUAUAGACCUGUAACAAUGCUCACUUUAGGAUAUGCUUUUGAGAUAUGAACCAUUGCCUUUGUUUCUGUUAUCUCAUCACAGAAGGCCAAAGACUGGGGGUACAAUGGUCACUCUGGUCACAACUGGACGACUUGGAUUAUGCAGGUGAUAUUGCUCUAAUAUCACACACACACCAACAAAUGCAGUGGAAAGUCACUGAGUUGGCAAGAACAGCAGCCAAAACGGGGCUCGCCAUUAACAAAGCCAAAACUAAGGUGAUGCAUAUCAGUAAUUUAAAAGAAGACUGUAUCGUUCUGGAUGGGGAGAAGCUACAAGAGGUAAGCUCCUUUACCUAGCUGGUAAGUGUCAUAGGGAAGGAUGGAGGAGCAGACAAAGACAUCCAAAUGAGAAUAGGAAAAGCAAGAGCAGCAUUUAUCAUGCUUAAGCCUAUCUGGAACUCAAAAAACAUUUCAGCUAAAACAAAGCUCUGCAUUUUAAUACUAAUGUAAAAUCAGUGCUGUUGUAUGGAGCAGAAACAUGGCGGACAACAAAGGCAUCAAAAAACAGACUGCAAGCUUUCAUAAAUAAAUGCCUCAGAACCAUCUUAGGAAUUGGCCAAACACCAUCAGGAACAAAGAUCUCUGGGGAAAGAACACAAGUCAUAGAAAGACAAAUCAAAAGAAGUGGUGCUGGAUUGGACAUACAUGCAGAAAACCAACAAUAAACAUAACCAGACAGUCACUAACUUGGAACCCACAAGGGAAAAGAAAACCCGGAAGACCAAGAAACAGCUGGAGGAGGUCCACAGAGGCAGAACUGAAGGAACUGGAGAAACUAGCCCAAAACAGAGCCACAUAAGACAGAGCCACAUAGAGGAUCAAAGUGGAUGACCUAUGCUCCCUAUGGAGCAAAAAGGGUUUAACCUAACCCUGUUAUCUCAUCAGUUGCUUGUGGAGUGAACAAAACCUAAAAUGGGUUUUGAGUAGCUGCUGAUCCCACACAACCACAUACUUCUUCCCUUCCCUAUUUUGACCAGCCUGUGCUAAUGUGAGGGAACAUAUGGACACAUUGGGGUGUAGCAAAUCUCCAGAGUGAUUUUGCAGUUGGAAAUAAAUAACUGGUGGUGUAUGAACAGAUUCAGAUCGAUUUAGUUAAUCUUCUAAAAACAGCUUGACUUGAAACGAUUUUUAAUUGUGUUGGUCUUCACUUCCAGAGGCAUUAUCACCCAUUUCAUUUAAAUAUUGCCAGUUCUUAAUAUAAUGAUCCAGCUCUGCUGGUGCGUAUACUGAACUGACAGAAAGCAAAGUAUUGUGCUACAAGAUACAGUAAAGCCAUACAUGUUUGUGGCCAAAGUAUUUGAAGAAUCACCCAUAUAACCUAUUUUGCUCCAGAAAUGUUAGCGACCUGUUACAAUAUACGAAGUAUGUAUUGUUAGUGGAAUUUGAUAUUCGUGCCAAAAAUGUUUGCGGGUUUUUUUUUU